UCAGGUAGGAGAGGCAAUCGCCCUGUCAUUCGACGGGGAGGAAAGUCCGAACACCUUCUCUGUAAUUUUUGCAGAGGAACGUUCAGGGUAAUACCCUGCCUAUCGUAAGAUGAGGGGUGCGAACAGUGACGCUCCGAGGCGAAAGCCGAGGAGCACCACGAGCGAAGUCGAGGGGUGAACCCUUCGACAAGCUCAGGGUGAUUUCCAAUGGCGACAUUGGAAAUGCAACGGCUAAAUCCCUGCGAGGUGCAAGAGUAAACCCAAGGGUUUGCAUAACAUGUAGACUUCUUGGUGAAAAGUGACUCGCUUGAGCAGGUAUAGUAAUGUAUCUGCCAGAUAGAUGAUUGCCAUCCUGUCUUUCGCGAGAAAGACAGGAAACAGAAUUCGGCUUAUAUCCUGCCUGAACCA
RNAcentral lists this RNase P RNA (408 nucleotides) under Candidatus Wildermuthbacteria bacterium. Its description in RNAcentral is "RNase P RNA component class A". It matches the Rfam family "Bacterial RNase P class A". From Rfam's summary of the family: Ribonuclease P (RNase P) is a ubiquitous endoribonuclease, found in archaea, bacteria and eukarya as well as chloroplasts and mitochondria. Its best characterised activity is the generation of mature 5'-ends of tRNAs by cleaving the 5'-leader elements of precursor-tRNAs. The record is from RNAcentral. Lineage: Bacteria; Candidatus Wildermuthiibacteriota.